GAGGUUAAGCGACUAAGCGUACACGGUGGAUGCCCUGGCAGUCAGAGGCGAUGAAGGACGUGCUAAUCUGCGAUAAGCGCCGGUAAGGUGAUAUGAACCGUUAUAACCGGCGAUUUCCGAAUGGGGAAACCCAGUGUGACUCGUCACACUAUCAUUAACUGAAUCCAUAGGUUAAUGAGGCGAACCGGGGGAACUGAAACAUCUAAGUACCCCGAGGAAAAGAAAUCAACCGAGAUUCCCCCAGUAGCGGCGAGCGAACGGGGAGGAGCCCAGAGCCUGAAUCAGCAUGUGUGUUAGUGGAAGCGUCUGGAAAGGCGCGCGAUACAGGGUGACAGCCCCGUACACAAAAGCGCAUGUGCUGUGAGCUCGAUGAGUAGGGCGGGACACGUGGUAUCCUGUCUGAAUAUGGGGGGACCAUCCUCCAAGGCUAAAUACUCCUGACUGACCGAUAGUGAACCAGUACCGUGAGGGAAAGGCGAAAAGAACCCCGGCGAGGGGAGUGAAAAAGAACCUGAAACCGUGUACGUACAAGCAGUGGGAGCACCCUUUGGGGUGUGACUGCGUACCUUUUGUAUAAUGGGUCAGCGACUUAUAUUCUGUAGCAAGGUUAACCGAAUAGGGGAGC
RNAcentral lists this ribosomal RNA (625 nucleotides) under Salmonella enterica. Its description in RNAcentral is "bacterial LSU rRNA". It matches the Rfam family "Bacterial large subunit ribosomal RNA", at positions 1 to 666 of the family's 2925-position model. The record is from RNAcentral. Lineage: Bacteria; Pseudomonadati; Pseudomonadota; Gammaproteobacteria; Enterobacterales; Enterobacteriaceae. RNAcentral also lists the same sequence under 4 other names.